This is a long non-coding RNA of Ornithodoros turicata, 1309 nucleotides long. RefSeq lists it as uncharacterized. The record is from RefSeq and is a predicted model, not a curated record. The transcript is spliced from 5 exons. Lineage: Eukaryota; Metazoa; Arthropoda; Arachnida; Ixodida; Argasidae.
ACGCCACUGAGUCCUGACUUCUGAGAAAACCAUGGGGGGCAAAGAGUUAAUAAGAUAACAGCAGCACCUCUUCUUAAAAGCGGACAAGCGCCGAAACUCAUUGCUGGGCGAGCAAUCAGUGGCUGAGAGAUGUGGCUGUCCAACAUCCACUGGGCUUCUACCAUAGACACACUUAGGUUCCUCAUCGGGGUGGGCCUGUAGCGAUGAUGCGAUAGGUGAUCUAUGUUGAAGACAGUCGACUUAUUUCGUUAAUAUCGUCUAUCCACAUUUCCAGGAUUGAGUGAUCUUCGUCAAGCUACAUCGUGCAUACCUGCCUUUGCCAACAACAUCUUCACGUCGAACUUCGAAGAUCAUGCUAUAGCGCCUUUGCUGGAAACGUCUCCACGAUACGGCAACAGAACAGUGCAACUUUAAAGGUCACCUUGAAGCUUGAUUCUACAUCAUCAGAAACCUUCACAAAUCACACGUAUUUUCGUGGCAACGUGGAACUGCAGGAACUGAAUUGAAGCCGUUGCUCAAGACGCCGUCUCAGAGACCUCGCCUAAAAAAGCAUUCUUGAAAGGCCUGAAACUGAUCUUCAGCACAAUGGCUACAUCUAGAUCAGUUAAAAAGAAUAUGCAGGAAGAGAUGUCACCCAAAUGGAAGGACAUACGUGAAAAAAUGCAUCAGGCGAUAGACGACAAGGACUAUCUUCAAGUACAGCAGUGCCUCCAUACUGUGGCUCAUCUCAGGUUAUGGUUACAUCCAAGUACAGGUGAAUCAGCCAUGUACAGAGCAAUCGAAAAGAGCUCAUUCUACAUUUAUGGAUUGCUUCUGUCUCACAGUUGUGAGUUCAGAAAUGAGGAGGAGGAAGAAUGCUUGGAGCGUUUGAACAAGACCGAGGAAUCUGAACUUCGGCGACAACUAUUCUUCGUGACGAUAUAUGGAGACUCUUAACUAGGGUCCCUCGAAUCUCGGACGCGGAAGUAAUAAGACGGAACACUUAACGAUGGCAUGGCGAUAUGAACGGUACGACUACACGAAAGACGGCUGAUGCAGUGGAAAUGUCCGCGGUGCGACCAGAAGGCAGAAUGGCGGACGGGAAUAAGCGAACAGAAAAGCUUCUGCGGGGAUGGAUUAAAAACUAGAGGCGGACAGACGAAUAAAAGGGGCAGCAGAGAAAGAAGUAAUCUCGUGACGCGAACAAUGUCCUCUAUGUUGGACUAAAUUUUUUUUUGUCUUGCCUCGUUAUGGAUUUUUGAUACACACGCGAUUAAAACAGCAUGUGUUACGAGAAGCACGAAUAAAGUUGCUGGUUAUUUCAACACUA